Molecule: ribosomal RNA, 257 nt
Filed under: uncultured bacterium
Lineage: Bacteria
Description: partial 16S ribosomal RNA
Rfam family: Bacterial small subunit ribosomal RNA
Source: RNAcentral
GACAGAGGGUGCAAACGUUGCUCGGAAUCACUGGGCGUAAAGGGCGUGUAGGCGGGUAGGCAAGUCGGGCGUGAAAUCCCUGAGCUCAACUCAGGAACUGCACUCGAAACUGCUUAUCUUGAGUGCCCGGAGAGGAAAGCGGAAUACCUGGUGGUAGAGGUGAAAUUCGUAGAUAUCAGGUGGAACACCAGUGGCGAAGGCGGCUUUCUGGACGGUAACUGACGCUGAGACGCGAAAAGCGUGGGGGAGCAAACAGG